RNAcentral lists this ribosomal RNA (842 nucleotides) under uncultured archaeon. RNAcentral's name for it is "bacterial SSU rRNA". It matches the Rfam family "Archaeal small subunit ribosomal RNA", at positions 79 to 903 of the family's 1478-position model. The record is from RNAcentral.
CGGCAUACAGCUCAGUAACACGUGGCUAACCUGCCCUUGAGACGGAGACACCCCCGGGAAACUGGGGUUAAUUUCCGAUAGGUGAAAAAUUCUGGAAUGAAUUUUCGCUCAAAAGAGAUUUAUGUUAUGCUCAUAUUCGUCGCUCAGGGGAUGGGGCCGCGACCGAUCAGGUUGUUGGUGAGGUAAUGGCUCACCAAGCCUUUUACCGGUACGGGCCGUGAGAGCGGGAGCCCGGAGAUGGGCACUGAGACAAGGGCCCAGGCCCUACGGGGCGCAGCAGUCGCGAAACCUUUGCAAUACACGAAAGUGUGACAAGGCUAUCCCGAGUGCCAUCCGCUGAGGAAGGCUUUUACCCAGUAUAAAUAGCUGGGAGAAUAAGGAGAGGGCAAGUCUGGUGUCAGCCGCCGCGGUAAUACCAGCUCUCCGAGUAGUGUGGAUGUUUAUUGGGCCUAAAGCAUCCGUAGCUUGCUAAGCAAGUCCCCUGUUAAAUCCACCGAUUCAAUCGUUGGAUUGCGGGGGAUACUGUUUAGCUAGGGGACGGGAGAGGUCGACGGUAUUUCCGGGGUAGGGGUGAAAUCCUAUAAUCCCGGGAGGACCACCAGUGGCGAAGGCUGUCGACUAGAACGCGCCCGACGGUGAGUGAUGAAAGCUGGGGGAGCGAACCGGAUUAGAUACCCGGGUAGUCCCAGCUGUAAACGAUGCAGGCUAGGUGUUUGGGCGGCCACGAGCCGCCCUAGUGCCGCAGGGAAGCUGUUAAGCCUGCCGCCUGGGGAGUACGGCCGCAAGGCUGAAACUUAAAGGAAUUGGCGGGGGAGCACCACAAGGGGUGAAGCUUGCGGUUU